This 22-nucleotide non-coding RNA is filed under the name Arabidopsis thaliana (thale cress). Lineage: Eukaryota; Viridiplantae; Streptophyta; Magnoliopsida; Brassicales; Brassicaceae. The record is from RNAcentral.
GAGAGGAGAGCUUGAUAAUCGU